Molecule: long non-coding RNA, 420 nt
Organism: Nematostella vectensis (starlet sea anemone)
Lineage: Eukaryota; Metazoa; Cnidaria; Anthozoa; Actiniaria; Edwardsiidae
Exons: 3
Source: RefSeq, a predicted model, not a curated record
GGCCAGCCACAGCGAUCCCGUUCAAUUGUUCGCAUACUACCUUACCUACAACCUGUCUUAUUUACCUCGCGUUUUACAGCAUAAUGCCCUGUAGUGUCCGGAUCCAGACGAGGGUCUGUGCCCUUAGUGGUAUAUUUCUGCCAACACGACAAAGCACAUAUCCUGAAGCCAGGCAAAUCCUAUUGAUGGUAAAGCCAGGAAUGAUGACAGAUGCCAGUCCUUGCCAAACUGCAGCCUCUGCUAUGGUCUCAACAGUGUAGCGUCUUCGUAAACUUACUGGGAGAUAUGUCUUUUCCUGCAGAAUUCAAGAAAAAAUGUCUGAUACUGUGUACAAACUGUGUGUAAAUAGUGCUUGUCAAAAACAUUGAGAAGUGCUAUACAGGCCCAUACCCAGGAUUUUUCUUGGGGGGUUGCGAAAUC